Molecule: long non-coding RNA, 531 nt
Filed under: Androctonus crassicauda
Lineage: Eukaryota; Metazoa; Arthropoda; Arachnida; Scorpiones; Buthidae
Source: RNAcentral
CAGCAGAAACUGGUAAGUAAAAUAUUAUAAUAUAAAUUAUUUUUAUUUUAAAAAUAAUUAGAUUUUAAUUUUAGACGAUUUUGAAUAUGAACAUAUUAUUAAAAAACGAAGUAACGAUGGUGAUGAUAAUGAAGGUUCUCCUAAAAAAAAAGAAACCGAAAAUUAAUGUAAGCCUUAUUAAACGAUCUAAACUUCAGGAUAUUGAGCCAUUUACUGUAGAAAUUGCUCCGAGUAGCUAUGCGACACUAGUAACUUUUAUAAAUAAUCAUUAUGUGAGUUUUAGUAAAUCAAACAGAGGAUAUCCUAAUAAGUUUAAUAUAAUUGUUUCAGAAGUUUUAAACUAUAAAAAAAGCCCUUGAUUUAAUGAUCGAAUAUUUAAAAAAACAUAAUCUAAUCUAAUGGAAUUGAGAAAAUCAGCAUUUAAAGGAUAUGAGAUCAUAUAGAUUAAUUACUGAUUAUUCUGAUCCGGAUAUACUCUCAAACUCCAUACACCAGAUGGCGCCGCAUGUGUGUCGCGCGAGCUUCGUACUC